RNAcentral lists this ribosomal RNA (702 nucleotides) under Triticum aestivum (bread wheat). Its description in RNAcentral is "partial small subunit ribosomal RNA". Lineage: Eukaryota; Viridiplantae; Streptophyta; Magnoliopsida; Poales; Poaceae. The record is from RNAcentral.
CAGGUGUUUGUGGUGGGCCAUGACUGGGGGGCGCUGAUCGCGUGGUACGUGUGCCUGUUCCGGCCGGACCGCGUCACGGCGCUCGUCAACACCAGCCUCGCCUUCAUCCGCAACAUAAUCGCACGCAAUGGACCUGGUUUCGUGAAGCCCACCGACUACUUCAACCGCGCCUACGGCCCCGACUACUACAUGUGCCGCUUCCAGGAGCCCGGGGUCGCGGAGGCGCGGCAGUUCGCGCCGGAGCACGCUAGGCGCCUCCUGCGGCAGAUCAUGUGCCACUGCUUCAGCCACGGCGUGGCCUGUGACGAGGAAAUGCACGACGACAAGUACCCGACAUCUACGCUCCCUCCUUGGCUCACCGAGGAAGACGUGGACUACUUUGGCGCCGAGUUCAAGGGGACUGGGUUCACUGGCGGCAUCAACUACUACCGCAACCUGGACAGGAACUGCGAGCUGGCUGCGGCGUGGGCGGACGCCAAGGUGCAGGUGCCGACCAAGUAUGUGGUGGGUGAAGGUGAAAUCACGUACCACUUCGAGGGGGUCCAGGAGUACAUCCACGGGGGUGGGUUCAAGGAGGACGUGCCACUGCUAGAGGAGGUGGUCGUCCUCCCGGGCGCCGGCCACUUUAUCCAGCUGGAGAGGGCACAGGAGGUCAGUGAUCAUAUCUACGACUUCAUCAUCAAGUUCUCAUCUCCAACCUAA